UACGAGGGGUCCUAGCGUUGUUCGGAAUUACUGGGCGUAAAGCGGGUGUAGGCGGAAUUGUAAGUCAGAUGUGAAAUCCCAGGGCUCAACCUUGGACGUGCAUUUGAUACUGCAAUUCUUGAGUGUGGGAGAGGAUAGUAGAAUUCCAGGUGUAGUGGUGAAAUACGUAGAUAUCUGGAGGAACACCGGUGGCGAAGGCGGCCCCCUGGACAAAGACUGACGCUCAGGUGCGAAAGCGUGGGGAGCAAACAGG
RNAcentral lists this ribosomal RNA (253 nucleotides) under uncultured bacterium. RNAcentral describes it as "partial 16S ribosomal RNA". It matches the Rfam family "Bacterial small subunit ribosomal RNA", at positions 524 to 776 of the family's 1533-position model. The record is from RNAcentral.